RNAcentral lists this unclassified non-coding RNA (28 nucleotides) under Dictyostelium discoideum. The record is from RNAcentral. Lineage: Eukaryota; Evosea; Eumycetozoa; Dictyosteliales; Dictyosteliaceae.
UCGUAGGCAUACUUGGGUGAGAGUGGUC